Long non-coding RNA from Mizuhopecten yessoensis (Yesso scallop), 818 nucleotides. RefSeq lists it as uncharacterized. NCBI's taxonomy places the organism in Eukaryota, Metazoa, Mollusca, Bivalvia, Pectinida, Pectinidae. The record is from RefSeq and is a predicted model, not a curated record. The transcript is spliced from 3 exons.
GAAAGUAACGCGAAGACGUGAAUAGUUCAAUCGUCAUUCCUCGUAUGUAAACAACUAUUUUCCCAUGAUGCAAUUCCAUUUAAUUAGCCAAUCACAUCAAAGCGGGAAAUUUAUUCAUCAUUUGAUUCAACUUUGACCCACGACCUAUAUGCAGCGAAUGUAAACAACCUGGUCGAUCUCAAAACGCUUCAAUUUUACGGUAGUAUUUUCAUGUUAUGCUGGAGUUAACCGGUAUCCAGUCUCUGAGAACAAGACAUUGAAUGGUGAAGUCAGAACAGAAUGUGUUUUCUACACAAACGGCGACGAAAUCGAUUCAUUUAUCCCAGACCUCGCCGGCAAACAUGGCGGCCAUUACAACCUUCAGAUGCUGAAGGACCUUCAUUAAACCAACAGAAAGAUAUGGACGUCACAGAUGUAUAAUCCCUCCUGAAUUGCCAGAAGAUUGUGACCCUAUCCGCCACCAUCAGAAGCUUAAUGAGGACAGUUACAGUACUUCCUGACUUAAGUUGGGCAUAUAUGUCUCAUAAUAAAGUUUCAUAGACUUUUUAUAUAUAUUUGCCCGAUUAUUUUUGACACAUGCACAUCAUCACAUGUUCAUAUUAAAUUCUUUCUUCUGUACAAAGGUCCCAGAGACAACAAAUGAUUGAACUUCAAUACUCCAUCUAGUUUUGCAAUUUAAACAUUAUGUUUAUUAAGCCCAAAAACCUCUUUUGAUUUAUGAACAGAUGAAGAGGUAUAACUGUAAGGGAUUGUCCCAUUUAUAUUAUUUUAUGAUGUGUUUGUAUAUAUAUAUUUCUAUGAAGCAAAUUUGAAUAAAU